This 253-nucleotide ribosomal RNA is filed under the name uncultured bacterium. RNAcentral's name for it is "partial 16S ribosomal RNA". It matches the Rfam family "Bacterial small subunit ribosomal RNA", at positions 524 to 776 of the family's 1533-position model. The record is from RNAcentral.
UACGUAGGGUCCGAGCGUUGUCCGGAAUUACUGGGCGUAAAGAGCUCGUAGGUGGUUUGUCGCGUUGUUCGUGAAAACUCACAGCUUAACUGUGGGCGUGCGGGCGAUACGGGCAGACUUGAGUACUGCAGGGGAGACUGGAAUUCCUGGUGUAGCGGUGGAAUGCGCAGAUAUCAGGAGGAACACCGGUGGCGAAGGCGGCGAUCUGGGAAGAUACUGACGCUGAGGUGCGAAAGCGUGGGGAGCAAACAGG